RNAcentral lists this unclassified non-coding RNA (18 nucleotides) under Chlamydomonas reinhardtii. RNAcentral's name for it is "small RNA Cre_3065". The record is from RNAcentral. Lineage: Eukaryota; Viridiplantae; Chlorophyta; Chlorophyceae; Chlamydomonadales; Chlamydomonadaceae.
UGCCGGCCGGACACCUGG